RNAcentral lists this ribosomal RNA (358 nucleotides) under uncultured bacterium. Its description in RNAcentral is "bacterial SSU rRNA". It matches the Rfam family "Bacterial small subunit ribosomal RNA", at positions 29 to 414 of the family's 1533-position model. The record is from RNAcentral.
AAUGAACGCUGGCGGCAGGCCUAAAACAUGCAAGUCGAGCGCCCUAGCAAUAGGGAGCGGCGCACGGGUGAGUAACACGUGGGAAUAUGCCUUUUGGUACGGAACAACCUCGGGAAACUGAGGCUAAUACCGUAUGGUCCCUUCGGGGUAAAGAUUUAUCGCCAAAAGAGUAGCCCGCGUUGGAUUAGCUAGUUGGUAAGGUAACGGCUUACCAAGGCGACGAUCCAUAGCUGGUCUGAGAGGACGAUCAGCCACACUGGGACUGAGACACGGCCCAGACUCCUACGGGAGGCAGCAGUUAGGAAUAUUGGACAAUGGGCGCAAGCCUGAUCCAGCCAUGCCGCGUGAGUGAUGAAGG